GAUGAACGCUGGCGGCGUGCUUAACACAUGCAAGUCGAACGGAAAGGCCCUGAUUUUGUGGGGUGCACGAGUGGCGAACGGGGGAGUAACACGUGUGUAACCUGCCCCUGACUGUGGGAUAACUUCAGGAAACUGCGGCUAAUACAGGAUAGGAGCUCCUGCUGCACGGUGGGGGUUGGAGAAUUUCGGCGGUUGGGGCUGGUCUCGCGGGUUACCCGCUUGUUGGGGGAGUUGUUGAUUUCCACGGCUAUGAAGGGUAGCCGGCCUGAGAGGGUGACCGGCGACAUUGGGCCUGAGGUACGGCCCAGUCUCCUACGGUAGGCAACAGUGGGGAAUAUUGCACAAUGGGCGGAAGCCUGAGGCAGCAACGCCGCGUGCGGGAUGACGGCCUUCUGGGUGUGAACCGCUUUCUCCUGUGACGAAGCGGGAGUGACGGUAAUGGGUAAAGAAGCACCGGCUAACUACGUG
This 468-nucleotide ribosomal RNA is filed under the name uncultured bacterium. RNAcentral describes it as "partial 16S ribosomal RNA". It matches the Rfam family "Bacterial small subunit ribosomal RNA", at positions 28 to 507 of the family's 1533-position model. The record is from RNAcentral.